Molecule: ribosomal RNA, 641 nt
Filed under: Pichia kudriavzevii
Lineage: Eukaryota; Fungi; Ascomycota; Pichiomycetes; Pichiales; Pichiaceae
Description: partial large subunit ribosomal RNA
Rfam family: Eukaryotic large subunit ribosomal RNA
Source: RNAcentral
UUUUAUUUUUUAUUUUUCCUUUUUUCAAUUAGCGGAGGAAAAGAAACCAACAGGGAUUGCCUCAGUAGCGGCGAGUGAAGCGGCAAGAGCUCAGAUUUGAAAUCGUGCUUUGCGGCACGAGUUGUAGAUUGCAGGUUGGAGUCUGUGUGGAAGGCGGUGUCCAAGUCCCUUGGAACAGGGCGCCCAGGAGGGUGAGAGCCCCGUGGGAUGCCGGCGGAAGCAGUGAGGCCCUUCUGACGAGUCGAGUUGUUUGGGAAUGCAGCUCCAAGCGGGUGGUAAAUUCCAUCUAAGGCUAAAUACUGGCGAGAGACCGAUAGCGAACAAGUACUGUGAAGGAAAGAUGAAAAGCACUUUGAAAAGAGAGUGAAACAGCACGUGAAAUUGUUGAAAGGGAAGGGUAUUGCGCCCGACAUGGGGAUUGCGCACCGCUGCCUCUCGUGGGCGGCGCUCUGGGCUUUCCCUGGGCCAGCAUCGGUUCUUGCUGCAGGAGAAGGGGUUCUGGAACGUGGCUCUUCGGAGUGUUAUAGCCAGGGCCAGAUGCUGCGUGCGGGGACCGAGGACUGCGGCCGUGUAGGUCACGGAUGCUGGCAGAACGGCGCAACACCGCCCGUCUGAAAACCCCGGACCAAAAGGUUAAUAGA